UCCUUGAUGUCUCAGUUGGUAAAGAAACCGCCUGCAAUGCGGGAGACCCCAGUUUGAUUCCUGGGUUAGGAA
RNAcentral lists this transfer RNA (72 nucleotides) under Bos taurus (domestic cattle). It matches the Rfam family "tRNA". Rfam says of the family: Transfer RNA (tRNA) molecules are approximately 80 nucleotides in length. The record is from Rfam by way of RNAcentral. Lineage: Eukaryota; Metazoa; Chordata; Mammalia; Artiodactyla; Bovidae.